GACGAACGCUGGCGGCGUGCUUAAUACAUGCAAGUCGAACGGAAAGGCCCUGCUUUUGUGGCGUUCUCGAUAGCCGAACAGGUGUGUGUAACGCGUGUAACCUGCCCCUGUCUUUGGGAUAACUUCUCGAAACUGGGGAUAAUAUCGCAUAGGAGCUCCUGCUGCACGGUGUGGAAUGGAAAGUUUCGGCGGUUGUGGAAGGACUAGCUGGUUAUCAGCUUGUUGGGGGAGUAGUGGCUUACCAAGGCUUUGACGGGUAGCCGGCCUGAGCGGGUGACCGGCCACAUUGGGACUGAGGUACGGCCCAGAUUGCUACGGGAGGCAGCAGUGGGGAAUAUUGCACGAUGGGCGGAAGCCUGAUGCAGCAACGCUGCGUGCGGGAUAACGGCCUUCGGGGUGUAGACCGCUUUCGCCUGUGACGAAGCGUGAGUGACGGUAAUGGGUAAAGAAGCACAGGCUAACUACGUG
This 468-nucleotide ribosomal RNA is filed under the name uncultured bacterium. Its description in RNAcentral is "partial 16S ribosomal RNA". It matches the Rfam family "Bacterial small subunit ribosomal RNA", at positions 28 to 507 of the family's 1533-position model. The record is from RNAcentral.